AAAUAUGCAAAACAAAUUGAGGUAGAAGAAAGACAUGCAUUCAAAUGCGUCCAAUUCACCAGUAAGCAUUUCGUUGUUACAUGCACACUAAACUAACCUCAAACAAUACAGGUACAAUAACGCAAAUCUAGUCAUUACUUGAGAGCACCAGCACUCUUAGCGGCGCCUAGAAUAAGUUCGGUGAUCUCAUCCAUCCCAACUUGAUUUUUGACUUGUGCAAAAACAAUGGGUCCAUUCUCACGAAUCUUUUUUGCAUCACGAUCCAUGACCGACAAAUCAGCACCGACCAACUUAGCUAGAUCUGUUUUGUUGAUAAUCAACAGAUCUGACUCCGUGAUACCAGGUCCACCCUUACGUGGAAUCUUGUCGCCUCCAGAUACAUCAAUUACAUAGAUAAUGAAAUCAGCGAGAUCACGAGAGUAAUUUGCAGCUAAGUUAUCACCUCCUGACUCCACGAGUAGUAAUUCUGUGUUGAACUCGGAUUGCAACUCCUCCAAUGCGACCAAAUUACCGGAGACGUCUUCACGAAUAGCAGCGUGUGGACAACCGCCUGUUUCGAUUGCGCGAAUUCUCUCUUCGGGAAGUGCCUUGUUACGAAUUAAAAAUUCUUGAUCUUCACGAGUAAAUAUGUCGUUGGUAACAACUCCGAUGCUAUAUUUUUCACCCAAGAGCCUGCAAAGCUGAAGCAAAAGUGCAGUUUUACCAGAACCGACCGGUCCUCCGACGCCAAUGGUAAAGGCACGACGAGAGAAGUCUCUAUGAUUGAACUGAGGAAGUUCACGCUUCAAGUAGCUGCCAGGCGUUUCCAUAGCAUCGUGAGAAUGGCCAUGCUCUUGGAUGAACUGCAAUCUGGCAGCUUCGCUGGAAGAGUUGGAAGAUGAAUCAUGGCUGUGAUGAUCGUGACCAUGAUGAUCAUGGUUAUGAUGGUCGUAAUCGUGUGUAUGGUGAUGAGUCGAGUCAUCAGAACCUCCCUUGUGAAGAAAAGGAAUCGCCAUGUUUUGAAUUA
Non-coding RNA from Schizosaccharomyces pombe (fission yeast), 1006 nucleotides. The record is from the annotation of a GenBank genome assembly. Lineage: Eukaryota; Fungi; Ascomycota; Schizosaccharomycetes; Schizosaccharomycetales; Schizosaccharomycetaceae.